RNAcentral lists this long non-coding RNA (1153 nucleotides) under Cyanistes caeruleus (blue tit). RNAcentral's name for it is "lncRNA (ENSCCEG00000018215.1)". The record is from RNAcentral. Lineage: Eukaryota; Metazoa; Chordata; Aves; Passeriformes; Paridae.
UAAGUCCUUUGAAAUAACUCACUAAAAAUAACGCUUGAAAAGCUACUUUUAGUUCACAGCAAAAAGCUGAAUGCAUGCUUAUCAGAUCAUCCCAACAUCUGAUCUGCCAUAUGUUUCGCUUUCCCUCUUUUCAAGGACCAUAGUCCUGUCUGAGAUCAAGAAGAAAAAGGCAGAGGAUCUGAAAAUCCAUCAGCUCAGAGGUUCCUGAUAAAGUUUUCCCUUUUUCAGUUUGGUGAUGGGACAUCCUCUGCUUUUUAAGAGGAAUGAAAAAGAACCUCCACAUCUACUUCCCAAAGAAAAUAAGGGAAAAAAAACCAUCGUUGCUUUAAUUUCCCUUCCUUGGUCCAUUAUGAGAAGUAAAUAAGAUCUAUAGCUGCAGUCAAGGAAAUUGGUAAAACCUGUGGCAUAAAUGAGUGGGGAAAUAUGAGUCAUAGAGACGUAAUGAGAGGCAGUAGCAAGAAAUAGGUGAGGUUAAUGGCCAGAGAUUUCCUUUAACAGCUGGAGGAGCUCCUACUACCACAGACAGAGCUAUAGUCUAGAACACCACAGUCCACUGGCCCUGACUUUAUUUAGUCACAUUGUCACCAUCGUUAUUAGUUUAAUACUGCUUUAUUUAACUUUGCUGCAUCGUAUAUUUUUAUUUUCUUCAGAUGUCCUGCUUUGCUUAAAUGCUUCAGAAUUAAACUAAUAUUUCAAAUAUUAAGAAGAAAAAAUCCUUAUGUUGCAUAUCAAGAGCUUGGUUCAAAAGCACAACUCCUUCAGCUCCACCUGCUGUCUUAAUUCCAAUCUGUGUACCAGUGUACAGAUUUCCAGUCUCAUGGCUUGCUUCUUCUUGGAAAAUCAUAUAUUAAGAACUAUUACCAUCUCAGUUUCCAGGAUUACACAGUCUUGCUGCUUUCAACUGCUAGGUUUUGUACAUGCACCAUUUCUAUAAUAACAGAGGUUGCCCAAACAUGCUGAACUUGUCUGCAUGAGCAGCUUUCCAUUCAAUUGGAUAACUAUGGAAGUGAAACGAUAAAAAGCAGUAUAAGCUUUCCAUCCAUUUAUUCCUUCUCUUUCAGAGUAACAGAAGAGCCCAGAAAAUUAUAGUAUACAAUUUUCCUUUUAUAGAAUGACUCCUAUAAUAGAGGCCCGCCUAUUCAUUGAUUUGGAG